GUACUACACCCUCCGUCCCAAAAUUCUUGUCUUAAAUUUAUCUAGAUGCGGAUGUAUCUAACACUAAAAUGUAACUAGAUACAUCCGUAUUUAGACAAAUCUAAGACAAGAAUUUUGGGACGGAGGGAGUAGAAA
Molecule: non-coding RNA, 135 nt
Organism: Triticum aestivum (bread wheat)
Lineage: Eukaryota; Viridiplantae; Streptophyta; Magnoliopsida; Poales; Poaceae
Source: Rfam